Molecule: ribosomal RNA, 484 nt
Filed under: uncultured bacterium
Lineage: Bacteria
Description: bacterial SSU rRNA
Rfam family: Bacterial small subunit ribosomal RNA
Source: RNAcentral
GAUGAACGCUGGCGGCGUGCCUAAUACAUGCAAGUCGAACGAGGUGCUUUUGUAGCAAUACGAGAGUAUCCUAGUGGCGAACGGGUGAGUAACGCGUUGGUGACCUACCCCAAAGUGUGGGAUAACAGUCCGAAAGGAUUGCUAAUACCGCAUGUGGUCUUCGGGUUUAGAAACUGAUGACUAAAGGAGCAAUUCGCUUUGGGAGGGACCUGCGUCCCAUCAGCUAGUUGGUGAGGUAAUGGCUCACCAAGGCUACGACGGGUAGGGGACCUGAGAGGGUGACCCCCCACAAUGGAACUGAAACACGGUCCAUACACCUACGGGUGGCAGCAGUAGGGAAUAUUGCACAAUGGGCGAAAGCCUGAUGCAGCAACGCCGCGUGUGCGAUGAAGGCCUUCGGUCGUAAAGCACUUUCUGGGAGAUGAGCAAGGACAGUAUCUCAGGAAUAAGUCUCGGCUAACUACGUGCCAGCAGCCGCGGUAAU